This 2030-nucleotide ribosomal RNA is filed under the name Candidatus Uhrbacteria bacterium RIFCSPLOWO2_02_FULL_51_9. RNAcentral describes it as "bacterial SSU rRNA". The stretch from base 1 to 1009 matches the Rfam family "Bacterial small subunit ribosomal RNA", at positions 413 to 1533 of the family's 1533-position model. The record is from RNAcentral. Lineage: Bacteria; Candidatus Uhriibacteriota.
GGCCUUCGGGUUGUAAACUGCUUUUUUCAGGGACGAAUUCUGACGGUACCUGAAGAAUAAGGGGUUCCUAACUCUGUGCCAGCAGGAGCGGUAAUACAGAGACCCCAAGCGUUAUCCGAAUUUACUGGGCGUAAAGCGUCCGUAGGUGGUUUUGUGCGUUAUCUGUCAAAUUCCAGGGCUUAACCCAGGAACUGCGGGUAAUACGGCAAGACUUGAGGCUGGGAGAGGCAAGCGGAACUGUCGGUGUAGUCGUAAUAAGCGCUGAUAUCGGCAGGAACACCAAAGGCGAAGGCAGCUUGCUGGAACAGUCCUGACACUCAGGGACGAAAGCGUGGGUAGCGAAUGAGAUUAGAUACCUCAGUAGUCCACGCCCUAAACGAUGCACACUAGGUAUCGGGAGUAUCGACCCUCUCGGUGCCGUUUAAAAGAGCUAACGCGUUAAGUGUGCCGCCUGGGGAGUACGAUCGCAAGAUUAAAACUCAAAGGAAUAGACGGGGGAUCGCACAAGCGGUGGAGCACGCGGUUCAAUUCGAUAACGAGCGGAGAACCUUACCGGGGCUCAAAUACUAGCUGCACAUCCUAUGAAAGUAGGACUUCUUCGAGAGUGCUAGAUAGGUGUUGCAUGGUUGCCGUCAGCUCGUGCAGUGAUGUGUACCCUUAAGUGGGGUAACGAGCGCAACCCUCGUGUUGUGUUAAAUCUACACAACAGACUGCCUACGUAAGUAGGAGGAAGGUGGGGACGACGUCAAAUCAGCAUGGCUCUUACGUCCCGGGCGACACGCAUGCUACAAUGGCCGGUACAAUGGGACGCCAAACCGUAAGGUGGAGCAAAUCCCAUCAAAACCGGUCUCAGUUCGGAUUGAGGUCUGCAACUCGACCUCAUGAAGCCGGAAUCGCUAGUAAACGCGCAUCAGCCACGGCGCGUUGAAUACGUUCUCGAUCCUUGUACUCGGGUGCUUGGCAGCCCCGAAAAAAAGCGGGUGCAAAUCCCGCCGCGUUCAGCACUUGAAUGCGAAGCCAAUCUACAGAUUGCGGAUCGCGAGGUCCCAAUUGAAGGGUGGGGAGGCAUCUAUUAGCUUGAGUCUUCAUACAGGUCAUCAAUGUCGCGACCCGCCGAGUACGCGGGGAAGCGAAAGUGCAUAGAACAUUGGUGAUGAUCGGAAGACCGAGAUGAUACAAAAUGUUUUUCAGGGUGACCCAAGGAGAUCUUGCAUAGUGUUCGGUGGUGGUGUGUACCAUUCUAUGGUAAACUAACACCGAGAAAGAGAAGAGAGAAAUCUUAAUCGGUGCUAUGCAAGAAGUCUGCAGAACUCAUAGUACCAAGCGUGGCUUUAGGCGCAAUCCUGCGCUCAAAGCGCCGUUUGGGAAGGAGCAAAUCCAACGAGCCAAGCUUAAUCCUUGGUACGUAAUUGGAUUCAUUGAUGGCGAGGGAUCAUUUUCGGUCAGCAUUGGCCGACACCAGACCCUGCGAAGUGGAAUUGAAAUUCAUCCGCAGUUUGAAAUAGAACUUCGAGAUGAUGAUCGAGAAAUUCUCGAGCGUAUUGUCGUCACGAUUGGUUGCGGGAAAAUCUACGAUUGCUCGUAUGAGCGAUAUGGAUGGUAUCCGCAUGCCAAAUUCAAGAUAGGCAGUACGCGAGAUAUGGUGGAAUAUUUAUUUCCCUUUCUUGAUCGCUACCCACUUCAAGCCAAAAAGGCAAAGGCAUACCGCCUUUUCCGUGAGAUUGUUCUCAUGAUGCGCCGCAAGGCGCAUUUAACGGAGGAUGGUCUCAAAAAAAUCCAGUUAUUGCGAAACGAAAUACGUAAGCUUGGAAAGAAACACAAUCAGUUGGAAACCGCCAGGAUACGGGAAAACCGUUCGUCCGGUGGUGUCUGGCAAUAAUAUAUUUAUUGACCGGGAAACCGCCCGUCACACCACGAAAGCCGGUAAUGCCUGAAAUCUCGCUUGCGGGAUGAAGGUAGGAUCGGUGAUCAGGGUGAAGUCGUAACAAGGCAGGGGUAGCGGAAGCUGUUCCUGGAUCACCUCCUUUCUA